RNAcentral lists this unclassified non-coding RNA (337 nucleotides) under soil metagenome. RNAcentral describes it as "partial contains 5.8S ribosomal RNA, internal transcribed spacer 2, and large subunit ribosomal RNA". The stretch from base 1 to 120 matches the Rfam family "5.8S ribosomal RNA", at positions 35 to 154 of the family's 154-position model. The record is from RNAcentral.
GAUGAAGAACGCAGCGAAAUGCGAUAAGUAGUGUGAAUUGCAGAAUUCAGUGAAUCAUCGAAUCUUUGAACGCACAUUGCGCCCCUUGGUAUUCCAUGGGGCAUGCCUGUUCGAGCGUCAUUUGUACCUUCAAGCUCUGCUUGGUGUUGGGUGUUUGUCUCGCCUCUGCGUGUAGACUCGCCUCAAAACAAUUGGCAGCCGGCGUAUUGAUUUCGGAGCGCAGUACAUCUCGCGCUUUGCACUCAUAACGACGACGUCCAAAAGUACAUUUUUACACUCUUGACCUCGCAUCAGGUAGGGAUACCCGCUGAACUUAAGCAUAUCAAUAAGCGGAGGA